RNAcentral lists this long non-coding RNA (1106 nucleotides) under Astyanax mexicanus (Mexican tetra). RNAcentral describes it as "lncRNA (ENSAMXG00005021092.1)". Lineage: Eukaryota; Metazoa; Chordata; Actinopteri; Characiformes; Acestrorhamphidae. The record is from RNAcentral.
UGUGAUUGUUAAUACUUUGAAAACACCUUUAUAAUUGAGAUAAUUAAAAAAAAAAUUAACCUUAACUGUUGAUCCUGAAACUAAAGCAGAAGAGGUUUUUAGUCGUUGCUCGUGUCUUCUGUGUUUGCUUAUGGUGUUGCCCCGCCACCCGUGUUAAUAAUUCCAGCACGCGCACUCGCACGCACGUACACUGCUCUCUGACUACUCUGUUUGCGCGCUUGGAGCAAGCUUCAGGAAUGACGUCGCUGGGUGUGGUGACUUUAUGAGCUCUGAGCCCUGAGUUUGCUCAACAUCGCUUUAGUGGGAGACUGGGGUCUUUUACACUCCAGCAGAGACCAGACCCAGCAGAAGUCUGAGUUUAGAGAGUUUUUAGUGGGUAAAAGUAACGAGAGUUUACACACUGUUUUACACACAUUCUUUAUUCAGGACAGGCGUGUUCCCUACCCCGUGUAAAUGUGUGUGUGUGAGAGAGAGAGCUCUGAGCUUCAGGGAUGCCCUUCCUCUCUCUCUCCGCUUGUCGAGCCUCAUUAAUAGAUUCUCAGUACAGUACAUAGGAAAUGAGUCAGAGGAGCUCAGAGCCCAGUGCGUGGGUGUGGGCGCUAUUAAAACAAGGCCGAGACUCGCGGUGACUCAUUCACAUGCUCGGCCCUCUCCGCAGCUCAAAAACAGCGAGCCAGCUGCGGUUCUUUAUCUCCUCCACACUGUUUUACACGCAGGAUCUCAGCGCCAUGGACCUCCACUCCGCGUGUCGGCUCCUGUGUUUAGUCCUCGUGGCCGGGACUCAUUUAAGCGGAGGAAUACACGCGGAGAAAAACCCAUCCUGUCAAUACCAAGAGUUUUACAACAAUGAUCUUGGAGAAUGUAUACCCUGCUCUAUAUGCAUAAAAUAUCCCAAAACCCCAUCAUGUGACACAUGCCCAGCCGUAGUGCCUUCAGACCCUUGGAGGUUGGCAGCCAUCACCAGUUUUUCAGUGCUUGCAGCUUUGGUUGUUUUUGGAUCAUUGCUAAUAGGAGUUCUAGUUCAUCAAUGCAGGUCCAGAAGGACUUUACGUGAGCCAAUUGAGGAAACUACAGGACCACUUUAUCCAGUGUAGGAGCAGCACUAA